RNAcentral lists this ribosomal RNA (492 nucleotides) under uncultured bacterium. RNAcentral describes it as "partial 16S ribosomal RNA". It matches the Rfam family "Bacterial small subunit ribosomal RNA", at positions 29 to 507 of the family's 1533-position model. The record is from RNAcentral.
AGUGAACGCUGGCGGUGGGCCUAACACAUGCAAGUCGAGCGGGCGCACAGUAAGAUUUUGCUCGUAGGGUUGGCGAGUGGCGGAGGGGUGAGGGAUAGAUCGGAGUCUAAUAUUGCGAGGGGGACGACGUAGGGAGACUUACGAUAAUACGGCAUAGAAGCUACGGGUUGAUUCAGUGGAUGUUCGGGGCUUGCCUGACUGAAUGAGACGAUGCCGGAUUAGCUUGUCGACGUGGUAAAGGCCCACGAAGGCGACGAUCCGUAGCUGAUCUGACAGGAUGAUCGGCCACACUGGAACUGAGACACGGUCCAGACUCCUACGGGAGGCAGCAGUGGGGAAUAUUCGACAAUGGGCGCAAGCCUGAUCCAGCCAUGCCGCGUGGGUGAAGAAGGCCUUCGGGUUGUAAAGCCCUUUUGUUGGGGAAGAACAGCUGCAGGUGAAAACCCCGCUGUUCUGACGGUACCCAAAGAGUAAGCACCGGCUAACUUCGUG